UUUUUUGUGGAGAGUUUGAUCCUGGCUCAGGACGAACGCUGGCGGCGUGCUUAACACAUGCAAGUCGAACGGAAAGGCCUGCAGCUUGCUGCGGGUACUCGAGUGGCGAACGGGUGAGUAACACGUGGGUGAUCUGCCUUGCACUUCGGGAUAAGCUUGGGAAACUGGGUCUAAUACCGGAUAGGACAGCUGUUUAGUGUCAGUUGUGGAAAGUUUUUUCGGUGCAAGAUGAGCUCGCGGCCUAUCAGCUUGUUGGUGGGGUAAUGGCCUACCAAGGCGUCGACGGGUAGCCGGCCUGAGAGGGUGUACGGCCACAUUGGGACUGAGAUACGGCCCAGACUCCUACGGGAGGCAGCAGUGGGGAAUAUUGCACAAUGGGCGGAAGCCUGAUGCAGCGACGCCGCGUGGGGGAUGAAGGCCUUCGGGUUGUAAACUCCUUUCGACAGGGACGAAGCGUAAGUGACGGUACCUGUAUAAGAAGCACCGGCUAACUACGUGCCAGCAGCCGCGGUAAUACGUAGGGUGCGAGCGUUGUCCGGAAUUACUGGGCGUAAAGAGCUCGUAGGUGGUUUGUCGCGUCGUCUGUGAAAUUCCGGGGCUUAAC
Molecule: ribosomal RNA, 604 nt
Filed under: Corynebacterium striatum
Lineage: Bacteria; Bacillati; Actinomycetota; Actinomycetes; Mycobacteriales; Corynebacteriaceae
Description: bacterial SSU rRNA
Rfam family: Bacterial small subunit ribosomal RNA
Source: RNAcentral